UCUGAGGCAGAGGAGAUAAGACAGGGCUGGGGGCAGGCCCAGUGCUGUGGUCUCAGGAGGCAGCGCUCUCGGGACUUCUCCACUAUGGCCUGGAAUCUGCUCCUCCUCAUUCUCCUCACUCAGGGCACAGGGUCCUGGGCUCAGUCUGUCCUGACUCAGCCUCGCUCAGUGUCCGGGUCUCCUGGACAGUCGGUCACCAUCUCCUGCACUGGAACCAGCAGUGAUGUUGGGGGUUAUAACUAUGUCUCCUGGUACCAGCAGCACCCAGGCACAGCCCCCAGACUCAUGAUUUAUGAUGUCAGCAGUCGGCCCUCAGGAGUCCCUAAUCGCUUCUCUGGCUCCAAGUCUGGCAACACGGCCUCCCUGACCAUCUCUGGGCUCCAGGCUGAGGACGAGGCUGAUUAUUACUAUGGAGGGAAAGCAGUGCAGAGGGUUCCAGUGGGUUAG
This is a non-coding RNA of Cebus imitator (Panamanian white-faced capuchin), 447 nucleotides long. The record is from the annotation of a RefSeq genome assembly. NCBI's taxonomy places the organism in Eukaryota, Metazoa, Chordata, Mammalia, Primates, Cebidae.